UCCCAUCCAUUUGCCAACCUGAUGUCAAUAAUAAUUCAUUCUAACAGCCACAUAGCAAGUCGAUACUAUCAAUAUGCCAGAACUCAUAAUCAGACAAAGGUUAUGCUCUUUCCAAAACAUCUUCCAUAAGAGCUCUGUCAACUAUUUUCUCAGGUUUGUUGGAGCCAUUAAUGAUAAGGAUGUAAAAAAGCACUUCUAGUGUCCAUCUCCUGCCUCAUUGAAUCAUGUUUCAGAUAUACAAUAAAUUGGCUGAUGGUCCUUAAUUAAACCUCAGUAAGCAAAAGACAAAAUGGUGUCAGGAAUUUUUGUCCAAAAUAGUUGUUAUAUGAAGUUUUUAGUGCUACAAAAGGAAUAUAUACCAACCCCAUUAGGCAUAUACUUCUUCCUUCCACCAAAUAUGGUUUUCAAUUGUACCAUUAGAUAUGGUAAUAAAAAUAUAUUUCCUCCUGUUACUCACAGCCACUUAUUCCUUAUUGUCGUCAAAUUUCAUCAACAGGUUAAUUCUAGCUGAUUGAUUCAAGCUCAGGAAGACUACAUUGGUUGGCAACUGAUUAUGCUAAGUUCCUCGACAAGAACAACCAAGAACAAGUAAAAUAUUGUACUAUAACAAGUAUUUCGCACCACAUGCUGGUGCUUUCUGGUAAAUUCAUUAUUUCCAUAGAAGUGCAGACAAGCAAGUAAAACAACAACAUAUCUAUGAAUGUAUGUUCAUCGUCUCAAAGAUGGAGACUAAAUCUUCUCAAAAUUAGAUAAAUUAAUAACCAAAAUGAAAGUCAACUGUAAAGCCCAUAUCUUGCACCUAGAUAUCAAUCAUCUGGUUGAAUCAAGUUUCACCACUAAGAAAGAACUUACCAGCUUUAGUUACCAAAAAAUUUGGAAAGGUGCUUAGUUUAGAUGACACUCAAGCGAAUUAAGAUGUAUAAGGUGCUCAUUGGGGCGCUUGUUUGGACACCACAAGAUCUAUCGGCCCAAUAAGAUCUUCCUCGUGCUUCAGCUAUUUUAAAGAUCCAUUGGGAGUUGGACUGUCAAAAGAGAACAGGGCAGCCACGACACAAUCUAUCCCUUUUUUUAAAGGGAUAAGAUAAGCCACCUUGGAAAAGGACUUACUUAUCCUUGAAAGCAUGGAUUAAUUGUGUUGCCAGCUGCCACAAUCUCCCCUGCAGACCCCAUUUCCAGCAUGUUUUUUAACCUCAGCUUUCUCAUCGAAAGACAAGCUUAUUGUCAGGCAUCCAAAGAUGGCCUAAGGAUCCAGGCGUGAUGUUAACUGUUCGAAGACUGCUUUCCAAGACUCCCAAGAUUCAGCAAGUAGUGUCUUGUAUUUUUUUUUUUUCUUUUUCCCAGAUUACCCAGUAUUGUCAUAUGUCAUUGGGAGGAACAAGCCAGCUUCUUAGCUUGUGCUUGGUUUUGGAGUUAGGCGGUGAUAAAACCCACUAACCCACCAAAAGAUGCUCGGGUUAAAGGACUUAAAUUGAGAGGCAGAGAAGGUAUUUCACAAAAAUCAGUGUGCAUUUUUCACUUGAUUUUUUUUUCCUUCUCUUCUAAGCUAGUUAACCCAUACAAUAAGGAAUGAAUCUACUCUGUUGAAAAAGGAGGACUACUUAUUUUUCUGCUUUAACCCUCCAUUUCUUGCUCCAAGUUACUCUACUUAAACAAGUUGAUGCGAUGUUUUGCUACUUUCAAACAAAAUUUAGUAACGUGAGCACAAAUUGACCUAGUAAAAACAAAAUAUGCAAAAGAAUUUUCAUAUAUUUCCUCCAAAUCACAUAAAACAAAUUUUCCCUUAAUGUUUACACCAUCUUGUAGGUCUUUUGCACAAGAUAAAUGAGAUAAAGUUUGAGAAGGAGCAUAUAUUUCCAAGAUUUUAACUCAAGAAUUUUCUUGACAAAAUCAAGGCUCGUGUAUCAUAUAUCAUGUUGACACAAGUAUGCAAGGAUGAGCAGUAUUGCUAUUAAACGAGGCAAGGAUUGCAAUAGACUUGUUACUGCCUUGCUGUCAAUAAUGCCGGUGCAGCACUUCCUCUUUAGAUAUGUUUGACAACACUCACAUCUCCACAACGUUCAUCUAAAGUGCUUGGAACCUAAAGUUUUUAUUUUUAAAAAAAAUAGAAAAGGUAAGAAGACAUGAAAUUAUGAAUUUCUACAAGUUCAUAACCAUGAUCUUGAAAGAUCUCGAAAGAACCCACAUUCAGCCAUUCAGGCUCUUCACAGCACACAGAAUCCUAUUUUCUCCCAGAAUAAUUAUCCAAAACACAAAUAAACCACACAAGUCUCCGCCUAAUCUACCACACGAUACAACCACAUUUUUUCAGACACCAAAACAAGACUAGAGUUAUCAAUUUCACCACUGCAGUCGUCCUUCCGUUAGAAACCAAAUCAACUAAACAACAGCUAAUUAAUGGCGAAUAGAAGCCAGAUCUCCUCUAUUGAUCUACCAAGCAACGAGAACGACAACCAUUGAAAAGAAAACAGCGAGGUAACAGUAGAGAAAGACGAGGACAGGAUCGGCAUCGUCUGAUCUCACCGGGGGCUGGAGAUUUGGGGUGCUGCGAUCGCUUGGGAGCGGCCUCAGGGGAGGAAGCGUAGGGCGAGUCGGGGGAUUCCAUGACGGCGGCGGCGGAGUUCGGCGGCGGAAGCGAGGGCGAGAGAGAGGAGGAGAAGCGAAGAGCGUCUCUCAAGCUGUUGGCGAACGGCAAGGAGUUCGAACCAUCCUUCUCCACCUUAGGUUUCGUGUCAUGAGAAAAAGGGAGAGGUAGUCGCGACCGGGGCCCGUUGCGAUAUUGUUCUUUGUGUAUCGCAUACACAGCGUCCUUCCAAUCCUGACUGCAAUUAGGAGACCCGUAAGGCUGACCCGGAGAGGAAACCAACUUCCUUCUUCCACCC
Molecule: long non-coding RNA, 2879 nt
Filed under: Elaeis guineensis (African oil palm)
Lineage: Eukaryota; Viridiplantae; Streptophyta; Magnoliopsida; Arecales; Arecaceae
Description: long non-coding RNA (EGUI_LNC072063)
Source: RNAcentral